AGCAGCCUGCUGAUCUAAGCAUCCAAUUCACUGUCCUUGACUUUUCACUCUCCAGUGUUCAUCUCUUGGCUUAUGACAUAUAUAUGCCAACAUGUGUUUGCUAAAGGUUCCAGGAAAUUAUGAUGAUAGUGACCACUUAUUGAAACUUACUACAAGGAGAAGAUGCCCUCGUCUGUGGUGGGAUGGGGCAGGAAGAAAGCCUCUGGGAUUGGAAGAGUAGAGGGAUCAAAAAGUUACCUGGAACAGUCAACCAUCUCUAGCCACCUGCUCUGCAUCCUAGUUUCAUUUUAAAAAUAUAUGGUGGUAUUCUCUGAAAAGAGGCAGCUGUUGUCGGUGGCCCCCAGGAAUAACUCUGUAAAUUACAAAGGAGACUCCAUUUUAACAGGCCUAUGUGGUCCCUUUUGU
RNAcentral lists this long non-coding RNA (405 nucleotides) under Homo sapiens (human). RNAcentral's name for it is "HSALNT0408876". The record is from RNAcentral. Lineage: Eukaryota; Metazoa; Chordata; Mammalia; Primates; Hominidae.